GGAACCAGGCGCCCGUCGGAGGACCAACCAAAACUCUUUUGUAUGUCCCCUCGCGGACUUUUAUUAUUCUGAACCAUCUCGGCGCCCCUAGCGGGCGUUUCGAAAAUGAAUCAAAACUUUCAACAACGGAUCUCUUGGUUCUGGCAUCGAUGAAGAACGCAGCGAAAUGCGAUAAGUAAUGUGAAUUGCAGAAUUCAGUGAAUCAUCGAAUCUUUGAACGCACAUUGCGCCCGCCAGUAUUCUGGCGGGCAUGCCUGUCCGAGCGUCAUUUCAACCCUCGAACCCCUCCGGGGGUCCGGCGUUGGGGAUCGGCCCUUUACGGGGCCGGCCCCGAAAUACAGUGGCGGUCUCGCCGCAGCCUCUCCUGCGCAGUAGUUUGCACACUCGCACCGGGAGCGCGGCGCGUCCACGUCCGUAAAACACCCAACUUCUGAAAGGUGA
This 441-nucleotide unclassified non-coding RNA is filed under the name Trichoderma sp. OTU_101. Its description in RNAcentral is "sequence contains ITS1, 5.8S rRNA gene and ITS2". The stretch from base 115 to 268 matches the Rfam family "5.8S ribosomal RNA". The record is from RNAcentral. Lineage: Eukaryota; Fungi; Ascomycota; Sordariomycetes; Hypocreales; Hypocreaceae.